Molecule: ribosomal RNA, 233 nt
Filed under: Lacticaseibacillus paracasei
Lineage: Bacteria; Bacillati; Bacillota; Bacilli; Lactobacillales; Lactobacillaceae
Description: Lactobacillus paracasei partial 16S ribosomal RNA
Rfam family: Bacterial small subunit ribosomal RNA
Source: RNAcentral
UUUAUAUGAGAGUUUGAUCCUGGCUCAGGAUGAACGCUGGCGGCGUGCCUAAUACAUGCAAGUCGAACGAGUUCUCGUUGAUGAUCGGUGCUUGCACCGAGAUUCAACAUGGAACGAGUGGCGGACGGGUGAGUAACACGUGGGUAACCUGCCCUUAAGUGGGGAUAACAUUUGGAAACAGAUGCUAAUACCGCAUAGAUCCAAGAACCGCAUGGUUCUUGGCUGAAGAUGGC